CUGUCCUUGGUUUUGCAUUUGGGGUAUUAUUUCUGUUUUGGUCCUUGAACUCUGACUCCCUCUGGUGACUGUUCCUAGUGUUGUAAAUGUCUAAAUCUGUGA
Thalassophryne amazonica is the source of this 102-nucleotide long non-coding RNA. RefSeq lists it as uncharacterized. Lineage: Eukaryota; Metazoa; Chordata; Actinopteri; Batrachoidiformes; Batrachoididae. The record is from RefSeq and is a predicted model, not a curated record. The transcript is spliced from 3 exons.